CCAACGUGGAUACCCGCGGCGAAGUCACUCUCGCCUAGGCUCUUCGUCUAAAUGGCAUAGGGAGCAUGAUGGUCUCAUCCCAGCAUGUUACCAGUCCUUGCACACCAGUUAGAGAUGAAGCUGGGCCCUGUAUAUUGCCACCUUGAAGUAUUCCUACAGCUUCUGAGUCACUGUGGACAAUGACAGAGGCAGACAAACCCACGCAAGA
This 208-nucleotide small nucleolar RNA is filed under the name Cercocebus atys (sooty mangabey). RNAcentral describes it as "Small nucleolar RNA SNORA73 family (ENSCATG00000018834.1)". Lineage: Eukaryota; Metazoa; Chordata; Mammalia; Primates; Cercopithecidae. The record is from RNAcentral.